UACGUAGGGUGCAAGCGUUGCCCGGAUUUAUUGGGCGUAAAGGGCGCGUAGGCGGCUCUGCACGUUCGUUGUGAAAUCGCCCGGCUCAACUGGGCGGGGUCAGCGGAUACGGCAGAGCUUGAGCAAGCUAGGGGGCAAUGGAAUUCCCGGUGUAGUGGUGAUAUGCGUAGAUAUCGGGAGGAACACCAGUGGCGAAGGCGGCUCUCUGGGCCUUUCCUGACGCUGAGACGCGAAAGCGUGGGGAGCGAACCGG
This 253-nucleotide ribosomal RNA is filed under the name uncultured bacterium. RNAcentral's name for it is "partial 16S ribosomal RNA". It matches the Rfam family "Bacterial small subunit ribosomal RNA", at positions 524 to 776 of the family's 1533-position model. The record is from RNAcentral.